GUUUCCAUAGUUGAAUGACAACGGUGGUUUUUCAUAUCAUUGGUCCUGGUUAAAGCCCGGGUGGAAAUU
This 69-nucleotide transfer RNA is filed under the name Congriscus sp. Tht2. RNAcentral's name for it is "tRNA-Glu". It matches the Rfam family "tRNA". Rfam says of the family: Transfer RNA (tRNA) molecules are approximately 80 nucleotides in length. Their secondary structure includes four short double-helical elements and three loops (D, anti-codon, and T loops). The record is from RNAcentral. Lineage: Eukaryota; Metazoa; Chordata; Actinopteri; Anguilliformes; Congridae.